RNAcentral lists this ribosomal RNA (523 nucleotides) under uncultured bacterium. RNAcentral's name for it is "bacterial SSU rRNA". It matches the Rfam family "Bacterial small subunit ribosomal RNA", at positions 25 to 518 of the family's 1533-position model. The record is from RNAcentral.
CAGGACGAACGCUGGCGGCGUGCCUAAUACAUGCAAGUCGAACGGUCUUUCUAUGGAAGCUUGCUUCCACUGAGAAGAUAGUGGCGAACGGGUGAGUAACACGUGGGUAACCUGCCCAUAAGAGGGGGGAUAACAUCCGGAAACGGGUGCUAAUACCGCAUAGUUUUCUUGAUCGCAUGAUUGAGAAAGGAAAGACGGCCUUUGUGCUGUCGCUUAUGGAUGGACCCGCGGCGUAUUAGUUAGUUGGUGAGGUAACGGCUCACCAAGACGAUGAUACGUAGCCGACCUGAGAGGGUGAUCGGCCACAUUGGGACUGAGACACGGCCCAAACUCCUACGGGAGGCAGCAGUAGGGAAUCUUCCGCAAUGGACGAAAGUCUGACGGAGCAACGCCGCGUGAGUGAAGAAAAGGGUUUUCGGAUCGUAAAACUCUGUUGUCAGAGAAGAACAAGUUGGAGAGUAACUGCUCCAGCCUUGACGGUAUCUGACCAGAAAGCCACGGCUAACUACGUGCCAGCCGCAGC